RNAcentral lists this ribosomal RNA (449 nucleotides) under uncultured bacterium. RNAcentral describes it as "partial 16S ribosomal RNA". It matches the Rfam family "Bacterial small subunit ribosomal RNA", at positions 29 to 523 of the family's 1533-position model. The record is from RNAcentral.
AACGAACGCUGGCGGCAGGCUUAACACAUGCAAGUCGAACGAGAUCUUCGGAUCUAGUGGCAGACGGGUGAGGAACACGUGGGAACAUCCCUUUCAGUUCGGAAUAACGUUGGGAAACUAACGCUAAUACCGGAUACGUCCUUCGGGAGAACGAUUUAUCGCUGAAAGAUUGGCCCGCGUCUGAUUAGCUAGUCGGUGAGGUCACGGCUCACCAAGGCUACGGGCAGUAGCUGAUCUGAGAGGAUGAGCAGCCACAUUGGGACUGAGACACGGCCGAAACUCCUAAGGGAGGCAACAGUGGGGAAUAUUGGACAAUGGGCGAAAGCCUGAUCCAGCCAUGCCGCGUGAGUGAUGACGGCCUUCGGGUUGUAAAGCUCUUUUGUCCGGGAAGAUAAUGACUGUACCGGAAGAAUAAGCCCCGGCAAACUUCGUGCCAGCCGCCGCUGUAA